UCAAUUGCCGUUAGAAAAAGCAUCACUCCCCUCCACCAUCGGUAUUCACUCCCUCAUUCUCCAUUCACCAUUUUCCCCAAAUUGAGAUCCCUAAUUUGAGCAACCCUUAAUUCCCGUCGCCCCCUCCGACUCACUCUACGCCGGCGACCACAACGCCCUCUCACUCCCUUCUACGUCCUCUCUACACUCCGGCUAAACAACACAGUCAAGUCACGAUUCGCCCUUCGUUCCACCACCGCCUUUGCUUUCGGUUCGCGAGGUCUCAUCACCACCACUCCGUCGCCGUCAGAACGGAGUUGCUGUGCUACUGUUUGGAAGCCGCUGCCGUGGAAUCACCGCAGCCGAACAUCAGCGCCGAAUCAGGCGCCUCAUUGUCCCAGCUUUGCCGCAAUUGUUUAUUUAAUCGAGGAAGCGGACAGACUCGCCGUCUGAUUUUGAUGCUGCCGAUUCUCGCCUAGCGGUGAGAGGCGCUCGAGAAUCCACCAAGCAGUCGCUGCCAUCGGGGUCUCACUUCGGUCGGUGUCAUUCUCCAGCCAUCUCGGCUGCAUUGUCACUAUCAAUUUCGUCGGACUUCCGUGGACUUCUCGGCUUAAUAGUUGUGUGGCAAUGGAGGCGUUCUUGUUCUAGUUCUGGCCAUCAUUAACUUAAAGUUAUCGGGGCUCAGACAAUAUUUCCUCAUACAUGGCUGCUAUCUCCUGCCUAAAAUCUAAAGCUUUAUCUAUUCUUUUGCACCUUUGUGAAGCUGAAAGUGUAUCCUACCUGGAUGAGGUGGCCAGCAACACAACAACUCGGGAUGUGGCAAAGUCUGGGACUCGAGGUUCUUCAAUUGCUGAAAAAUGUUUGGUAUAGAUUCAAGACAGUUAAAAGCUCCCUCCGAGGCAAGUUACUCGAAGGGUCAACUGGAACGUAAUACAAAGCGCUUGGCAGAUGUCGUCUCAGAUGCUUCAAAUUUUCGGUCAUUCAUCGUGAUAAACUUUGUUCACAGUUGAGUCAUUCUGAAUCUUUAGUUCUAGGAGUUUUGAAUGAAGAUGAUGUAUAACUGCUGAGGAGCUUGGGAAGGGGUGGACUGCAGGAGCAACUAGCUUCCUAUAUUGGACUCUCGGCCCUGAUGAGAAAAAAAGAGGAAUAAGCUUCAUAAAAAGGAAUUUUAAAGCCACAAAAGUAAGGUAGGAAGAUACACUGGUAGAGGUUUGUUUUCAGCAUUUUGGUAUGUGAGAAGGUACCAGGUUUCCCAGCAAGGCAGGAAAUCCGAGCUUUUAUUGUAGUCGUCAAAUCCUGGUCUUUGAGGAUUCUGAAAUCACGGGCCUUGGAAGCUGGUUGAGCACUCAAUUAGUGUCAAGUAAAGAUACUUUCUAUGAGGAUCAGUCAUUAAACAUCAACGUGUGACUCACCUUAUGCUGAGUAUUGCUUUACGAGCUGUUUUAGAUGCUUUGAGUAAGCCUGCAGAUCGGCAUUGGAGCAGUUUGUGGACAGUAUCAUUGAGUAUUACUUCUCCAGUUUAGUUUUGACCACCUCACUAUUUAUUACAACGAGUUGAAGGUGUGCCAUUUCAUACUAAAGCCAUCAAUGAAGAACUACUGCAAAAUCUUUCUGAUGCUCUACACUUAUCGGUACCGGAUAAAAUUGGAGUUGGUCUUGCUUUGUCUAAUUCUGAAGAACACGAUAUCUUUAUGAUACUAAGAAGUGUGGUUAGUUAUUCUCUUCUUUGUACAUACAUUUAGAUAUAUUGUUUUGUUUAGUUGUAGGAAGUGGAAUACAUACAUAAGUUUUUUCUCCUUGGAAUUCUUCCGCAUGUUUCACUAAACCUAUAACCCUUUUCUUGGCUGUAUGCAGGAAAGAAUUUCUGUUUGACACAAUUUAGAGAGCUGUGUGCCAAACCUACUGCGUUUGAGGCUACUGUGAUAAUUCAGCAUAUUCUCGUGUUACUCUUAGUCAAUUUGAAGUCUUUAAUUAUUUAGAUUCAUUCUUGCAAAUGUUAUCUCUUGUUCCACUACUAAGGUUUUUCUGUUAUAGUUCCUAAUGCAUAAAUAGACUAGAAUGUACUUGGUCGAUAUAAAGGUCGAGGGUGGUAGGGGGCGACUAACUUCUUAACUUAAGAGAAACGGCGGAAUAGGGUGGAAAACAAAAGGCACAAGUCUAUUUAUUGGUUUUUGAGCUUGCUUUGCUUGAUCUUCUGCUUCUUGGUUGUUGCGCCUACAAUUUUCUAUUUAUUCAAUUCAUUCUUUGCUGCCUUUUGCAGCUUUAUAAUUAACCUGUAACAUAUAUUAUAUUUUUGUGUGUUAUGACGUUUUUCUACUUUUUUCUAAUCCCCUGUUUGCUACCUUGCAGCUUUAUAAUUAAUACAUACAUAGUAUCCUAGUUUCUUUGUCUUAUAUGCCGUGUACAAAUAUGUCUUAUAUUAGUUAUUCUUUGAUAUAUAAACCCCAUUGAUUGUCAAAUCUUGGCAUCUUAAUAUAUCUGUUAAUUGUUUUUAUAGGCUCUUUCCCAAGUACUUACUAGACACAUUUCCUUUUUACUUCGGCAUUAGGUUUGCUGAACUUGCUUCUAAAAAAGAAAUCGUGGGCCUUGGAAGCUGGUUGAGCACUUAAAUAGUGUUGAGUAAAGAUACUUUCUAGAGGAUCAGUCAUUAAGCAUCAACUUGUGACUAACCUUAUGCUGGGUAUUGCUUUACGAGCUGUUUUCGAUGCUUUGAGGAAGCUUGCAAAUUCAAAAGUUUGUUCCUUCCUAGGCAUUGGAGCAGUUUGUGGGUCAUCUCAUUAAGAAUUAUUGAUCCAGUUCAGAUUUGAGCACCUCACUAUUUAUUCCAGCGAGUUGAAGGGUAUAAAGCUGCAACCAAUAAUUGCUUCACUAAUCAAAUAUUUAUUUAUUAAACCUAACUUUAGUUCGAUAUUAAGUGUGUCAUUUCAUACUAAAGCCAUCAAUGAAGAACUACUGCAAAAUCUUUCUGAUGCUCUACACUUGUCGGUACCUAAUAAAAUUUGGGUUGGACUUGCUUUGUUUAAUUAUGAGGAACACGAUAUCUUUAUGAUACUAAGAAGUGUGGUUAGUUAUUCUCUUCUUUGUACAUACAUUUAGAUAUAUUGUUUUGUUUAGUUGUAGGAAGUGGAAUACAUACAUAAGUUUUUUCUCCUUGGAAUUCUUCCGCAUGUUUCACUAAACCUAUAACCCUUUUCUUGGCUGUAUGCAGGAAAGAAUUUCUGUUUGACACAAUUUAGAGAGCUGUGUGCCAAACCUACUGCGUUAGAGGCUACUGUGAUAAUUCAGCAUAUUCUCGUGUUACUCUUAGUCAAUUUGAAGUCUUUAAUUAUUUAGAUUCAUUCUUGCAAAUGUUAUCUCUUGUUCCACUACUAAGGUUUUUCUGUUAUAGUUCCUAAUGCAUAAAUAGACUAGAAUGUACUUGGUCGAUAUAAAGGUCAAGGGUGGUAGGGGGCGACUAACUUCUUAACUUAAGAGAAACGGCGGAAUAGGGUGGAAAACAAAAGGCACAAGUCUAUUUAUUGGUUUUUGAGCUUGCUUUGCUUGAUCUUCUGCUUCUUGGUUGUUGCGCCUACAAUUUUCUAUUUAUUCAAUUCAUUCUUUGCUGCCUUUUGCAGCUUUAUAAUUAACCUGUAACAUAUAUUAUAUUUUUGUGUGUUAUGACGUUUUUCUACUUUUUUCUAAUCCCCUGUUUGCUACCUUGCAGCUUUAUAAUUAAUACAUACAUAGUAUCCUAGUUUCUUUGUCUUAUAUGCCGUGUACAAAUAUGUCUUAUAUUAGUUAUUCUUUGAUAUAUAAACCCCAUUGAUUGUCAAAUCUUGGCAUCUUAAUAUAUCUGUUAAUUGUUUUUAUAGGCUCUUUCCCAAGUACUUACUAGACACAUUUCCUUUUUACUUCGGCAUUAGGUUUGCUGAACUUGCUUCUAAAAAAGAAAUCGUGGGCCUUGGAAGCUGGUUGAGCACUCAAAUAGUGUCGAGUAAAGAUACUUUGUAGAGGAUCAGUCAUUAAGCAUCAACUUGUGACUAACCUUAUGCUGGGUAUUGCUUUACGAGCUGUUUUCGAUGCUUUGAGGAAGCUUGCAAAUUCAAAAGUUUGUUCCUUCCUAGGCAUUGGAGCAGUUUGUGGGUCAUCUCAUUAAGAAUUAUUGAUCCAGUUCAGAUUUGAGCACCUCACUAUUUAUUCCAGCGAGUUGAAGGGUAUAAAGCUGCAACCAAAAUUGCUUCACUAUUCAAAUAUUUAUUUAUUAAACCUAACUUUAGUUCGAUAUUAAGUGUGUCAUUUCAUACUAAAGCCAUCAAUGAAGAACUACUGCAAAAUCUUUCUGAUGCUCUACACUUGUCGGUACCUAAUAAAAUUUGGGUUGGACUUGCUUUGUUUAAUUAUGAGGAACACGAUAUCUGCACGAUACCAGGAUGUGUGGAAAGACUUUCUGUUUGAGUCAGAUUGCUGCGUUUGAGGCUACUGAGAUAAUUCAGCAUAUUCUUGUGUUAUUCUUGGGAAACUAGGGUGUUUUCCGUGAUAGUUCCUAGUUGUCUAUAAUGUUGUAAAAUACGCUUCAACCUAACUAUGUUACUUGUAAUGUUACCCCGUUCUAAAAUUUUCAACUUGCCUAUAAUGUUUAUCCUUUGUGAAUGCUUGUGCUUCAGGAUCAGUCAUUAAGCAUCAACUUGUGACUAACCUUAUUCUGGGUAUUGCUUUACGAGCGGUUUUCAAUGCUUUGAGGAAGCUUGCAUAUUCAAAAGUUUGUUCCUUCCUAGGCAUUGGAACAGUUUGUGGACCGUCUCAUUUAGUGGCCACUGUACUGCCAUCAUAUCCUGCACUUUGUAACAUUUAUAGGGAGGGCACUUAACAGUAUUUCAGCGGCUUAUACUGAACUGAUGUUAGCCAUAGUGCCAAUACUGAUCACCGACACAGUCAUAUUCAAUCUUCAUCUCCACAUAUAGAGACUGCAGGCCCACCAUUUUCUCUGAUCGGACCCGGCAGCAUAUUGUCUGGAUUAGCAAUUCCCUCUUCGAUCCCACUACAACAGAGACCACCAAGUUCUCUAGAUGAGAGUUCACUCCUAAUUACAUGAAGCCAUCACAACACACCUACCCUUCCUAAG
Molecule: long non-coding RNA, 5080 nt
Organism: Salvia splendens (bonfire salvia)
Lineage: Eukaryota; Viridiplantae; Streptophyta; Magnoliopsida; Lamiales; Lamiaceae
Exons: 20
Source: RefSeq, a predicted model, not a curated record